GUAGUCAAGAUGAGAAUUCUAAGGUGAGCGAGCGAACUCUCGUUAAGGAACUCGGCAAAAUGACCCCGUAACUUCGGGAGAAGGGGUGCUCUUUAGGGUUAACGCCCAGAAGAGCCGCAGUGAAUAGGCCCAAGCGACUGUUUAUCAAAAACACAGGUCUCUGCUAAACCGUAAGGUGAUGUAUAGGGGCUGACGCCUGCCCGGUGCUGGAAGGUUAAGAGGAGUGGUUAGCUUCUGCGAAGCUACGAAUCGAAGCCCCAGUAAACGGCGGCCGUAACUAUAACGGUCCUAAGGUAGCGAAAUUCCUUGUCGGGUAAGUUCCGACCCGCACGAAAGGCGUAACGAUUUGGGCACUGUCUCAACGAGAGACUCGGUGAAAUCAUAGUACCUGUGAAGAUGCAGGUUACCCGCGACAGGACGGAAAGACCCCGUGGAGCUUUACUGUAGCCUGAUAUUGAAAUUCGGCACAGCUUGUACAGGAUAGGUAGGAGCCUUUGAAACGUGAGCGCUAGCUUACGUGGAGGCGCUGGUGGGAUACUACCCUAGCUGUG
This 551-nucleotide ribosomal RNA is filed under the name Staphylococcus aureus. RNAcentral's name for it is "partial 23S ribosomal RNA". It matches the Rfam family "Bacterial large subunit ribosomal RNA", at positions 1663 to 2213 of the family's 2925-position model. The record is from RNAcentral. Lineage: Bacteria; Bacillati; Bacillota; Bacilli; Caryophanales; Staphylococcaceae.